This 444-nucleotide ribosomal RNA is filed under the name uncultured bacterium. Its description in RNAcentral is "partial 16S ribosomal RNA". It matches the Rfam family "Bacterial small subunit ribosomal RNA", at positions 338 to 795 of the family's 1533-position model. The record is from RNAcentral.
CCUACGGGGCGCUGCAGUGGGGAAUAUUGCACAAUGGGGGGAACCCUGAUGCAGCAAUGCCGCGUGAAGGAUGAAGGUUUUCGGAUUGUAAACUUCUUUUGUACGGGACGAAGAAAGUGACGGUACCGUAAGAAUAAGCCACGGCUAACUACGUGCCAGCAGCCGCGGUAAUACGUAGGUGGCAAGCGUUAUCCGGAUUUAUUGGGUUUAAAGGGUGCGUAGGCUGUGAGGUAAGUCAGCGGUGAAAUGCCCCCGCUCAACGGGGUGAAGUGCCAUUGAUACUGCCUUGCUGGAAUGCGGAUGCCGUGGGAGGAAUGUGUGGUGUAGCGGUGAAAUGCAUAGAUAUCACACAGAACACCGAUUGCGAAGGCAUCUCACGAAUCCGCGAUUGACGCUGAUGCACGAAAGCGUGGGUAUCAAACAGGAUUAGAUACCCCGGUAGUC